UUAAGUUCAGCGGGUAUCCCUACCUGAUCCGAGGUCGACCUUAUAAUAGUUGGGGUUGCUGGCAAGCACCCUCAAGACCCUAUAGCGAGAAAAUUACUACGCGUAGAGCUUAAGAGCACCGCCACUGGGUUUAAGAGAGGCCGGACGGCCAGCUCCAAGUCCACCACGGGGGUGAUUUGGUCAAAAUGACGCUCGAACAG
This 200-nucleotide unclassified non-coding RNA is filed under the name Helotiales sp. RNAcentral describes it as "partial internal transcribed spacer 2". Lineage: Eukaryota; Fungi; Ascomycota; Leotiomycetes; Helotiales. The record is from RNAcentral.